RNAcentral lists this ribosomal RNA (465 nucleotides) under Vreelandella stevensii. RNAcentral describes it as "partial 16S ribosomal RNA". It matches the Rfam family "Bacterial small subunit ribosomal RNA", at positions 338 to 795 of the family's 1533-position model. Lineage: Bacteria; Pseudomonadati; Pseudomonadota; Gammaproteobacteria; Oceanospirillales; Halomonadaceae. The record is from RNAcentral.
CCUACGGGAGGCUGCAGUGGGGAAUAUUGGACAAUGGGGGGAACCCUGAUCCAGCCAUGCCGCGUGUGUGAAGAAGGCCCUCGGGUUGUAAAGCACUCUCAGUGAGGAAGAACGCCUGGUGGUUAAUACCCAUCAGGAAAGACAUCACUCACAGAAGAAGCACCGGCUAACUCCGUGCCAGCAGCCGCGGUAAUACGGAGGGUGCGAGCGUUAAUCGGAAUUACUGGGCGUAAAGCGCGCGUAGGUGGCUUGAUAAGCCGGUUGUGAAAGCCCCGGGCUCAACCUGGGAACGGCAUCCGGAACUGUCAAGCUAGAGUGCAGGAGAGGAAGGUAGAAUUCCCGGUGUAGCGGUGAAAUGCGUAGAGAUCGGGAGGAAUACCAGUGGCGAAGGCGGCCUUCUGGACUGACACUGACACUGAGGUGCGAAAGCGUGGGUAGCAAACAGGAUUAGAUACCCUAGUAGUC